RNAcentral lists this long non-coding RNA (1878 nucleotides) under Pongo abelii (Sumatran orangutan). RNAcentral describes it as "lincRNA". Lineage: Eukaryota; Metazoa; Chordata; Mammalia; Primates; Hominidae. The record is from RNAcentral.
UCGCCAGCAGCUAGCAGCACUGACUAGUAGGAGGGCCCGCCGGAGGAGAGCCGCGCGGCCCACAGAAGCGGAACGCGCGUCGAGAGCGCCCUGUCCGCUCGCCCCAGACAGAUGCCCGGUUAUUCAUUACCCCGAGGCCUAGAGGAAAGAAUGGCUGCCGUCCUCCUGUCCACAGCCCGCCGGACCCUCCGUCGCGGCUGCCGGCUCCCCGGAGCCGCAGCCACCGAGCCUGGCUGUGCGUGUCGUGGCUGCUGGGGAGAAAGAGGCGUCCGGAAGCCCCAGAGAGAUUGGUAAGGGUGAUUUCCCAGGAAGACGCAGUGUGCUCUGACUUCUGUGACAGCGAGCAGCGGGACCAAUGGAUGUCCAGAUGCUGGCAAUGAGACAUGCUCUGGAGUCAGAAGACGGCGAAAAGAGAAGCAGAAGCCUCGGUGGCAAGAGUCCGAAGCAGGACGCAAUCACUGUAACCUGUGGAUUGUACUGCAGUAGGAAACUAUCCUAGCGAGGCUCUGCUUUGCCCCAGCUUCAAGCUGGAAAGGAGGAGAACAUGAAACGUUGCUUGAAGACAAUGGCCGAGACAGCAGGUCCCACCCUGCACAGCCACCAGCAUCUCUCCCCUCAGCCCUGUCUCCUCUUCUGCAGUUGGGAUCUGCACAUUUAAGCCCCAAAUUGUCCUGUGAAGUGAAGUAUGAUCGGACAGCCUCUUUUCAGCUUUUAUGAAAAUGGAGACAGAGGAAUUGUGGCUCUUGCCAAGGUCACAGGAUUGGAAUGCAGAGCCAAGCCACCCCAGGACAUGCAAGAGCCUCAGAAGGGAAAAAGCCCAGCAGGAAGGGAGAACAAGUAGCCUCUGUCCUGAGGUUGUAACAGCCAAGGGCCAGGAUGGAGGAGGAGGACCCCAUGAUCUGCCCAUCUGGCACUUGGCAGGGGACCUGGGAAAAUGUACCCCAACCCAUCCCUCAAGGGCCUUUGCCUUUGGCCCACUGGCCUAGCAUCUCCUUCUUCACCAUGUCUGUUCUUGUCACACCUAGUCAGGUCUGUUUGGGUCUGAGGUGCAUGGAACAUUCUGGGUAGGCCUCCAGCAAAUGGAAGCUCUUCACCGUGUUUCCAGCCUGGGACCAAGGGCAGCACACUGGCAAAGUUGCCAAAGCAAGGGACUCCAGCCUUUUAGGAGUUAAUGACUCCCUCUCCCCAGCUGUCCUCCCCUUAGUGCUCCUCUUCCUCCCUCCUCCUGCUCACAGCAGGCAGGGCCUAGACCCAGGAGCCAUGCUGCUGUGCUGUUGCCAGGGGAGCACGGAGGCAGAUCUGAGCUAUGCAGGGAAAAGGCCCGGCCUGUCAAAGUGUCUGAGAUGAACCGCUGCCGUCCCUGUGCAGCUGGGCUCAGACGUGUCUCAGCUCUUGUUCUGUGCCUGAGAAUGGCAAAACCCAGUGAGGUUCAAGGGCAAACUCGCUAUUCAUUAGUCAGGGGUUCUUGACGUCCCGUCUCUCCCAGGGAUGAGUUCCCCCCUCCUCUUUCUUCCCCUCCUGUGACACAUUCCUGGGUGCCUUUGGUGAGGACUGCACACCCUCCUCCUGCCUAGCCCCCUCUCCGAAGGCCCCUGAAUAAACUCCCCCCAAGGAGACCAGGCAGGGCAGAGACAAUGGCUGCAGGAAAUCAUUCAUGCGGGACAUGCUGGCCGGCCCUCCACCCAGUCCCCCUGUGGGCCCCACGCCCUUCUGAUUCAGGGCACCCUUGGGCCCCCAGCCUAUACAGGCCUGGACAGGAAGAAACCACUGGGAACCACCCUAAGGACAUACAUGCUAGUCCAGUGCCAUUCUUCGCUGGCUCUGUGGGUGCCUUUGUGGCCUGUACCGACUGGCUGGCUAAUUUUGUGGUUUCUGUAC